GACGAACCGUGCAAACGUUGUUCGGAAUCACUGGGCUUAAAGGGCGCGUAGGCGGGUCUCCAAGUCGGUGGUGAAAUCUUUCAGCUCAACUGGAAAAGUGCCGCCGAUACUGGAAAUCUCGAGGGAGGUAGGGGUCGAUGGAACUAAUGGUGGAGCGGUGAAGUGCGUAGAUAUCAUUAGGAACGCCGGUGGCGAAAGCGAUCGACUGGCCCUCUUCUGACGCUGAGGAGCGAAAGCCAGGGGAGCAAACGGG
This 253-nucleotide ribosomal RNA is filed under the name uncultured bacterium. RNAcentral's name for it is "partial 16S ribosomal RNA". It matches the Rfam family "Bacterial small subunit ribosomal RNA", at positions 524 to 776 of the family's 1533-position model. The record is from RNAcentral.